This 1554-nucleotide ribosomal RNA is filed under the name Leclercia adecarboxylata. RNAcentral's name for it is "bacterial SSU rRNA". It matches the Rfam family "Bacterial small subunit ribosomal RNA". Lineage: Bacteria; Pseudomonadati; Pseudomonadota; Gammaproteobacteria; Enterobacterales; Enterobacteriaceae. The record is from RNAcentral.
ACUUAAAUUGAAGAGUUUGAUCAUGGCUCAGAUUGAACGCUGGCGGCAGGCCUAACACAUGCAAGUCGAACGGUAGCACAGAGAGCUUGCUCUCGGGUGACGAGUGGCGGACGGGUGAGUAAUGUCUGGGAAACUGCCUGAUGGAGGGGGAUAACUACUGGAAACGGUAGCUAAUACCGCAUAACGUCGCAAGACCAAAGAGGGGGACCUUCGGGCCUCUUGCCAUCAGAUGUGCCCAGAUGGGAUUAGCUAGUAGGUGGGGUAAUGGCUCACCUAGGCGACGAUCCCUAGCUGGUCUGAGAGGAUGACCAGCCACACUGGAACUGAGACACGGUCCAGACUCCUACGGGAGGCAGCAGUGGGGAAUAUUGCACAAUGGGCGCAAGCCUGAUGCAGCCAUGCCGCGUGUAUGAAGAAGGCCUUCGGGUUGUAAAGUACUUUCAGCGGGGAGGAAGGUGUUGUGGUUAAUAACCACAGCAAUUGACGUUACCCGCAGAAGAAGCACCGGCUAACUCCGUGCCAGCAGCCGCGGUAAUACGGAGGGUGCAAGCGUUAAUCGGAAUUACUGGGCGUAAAGCGCACGCAGGCGGUCUGUCAAGUCGGAUGUGAAAUCCCCGGGCUCAACCUGGGAACUGCAUUCGAAACUGGCAGGCUAGAGUCUUGUAGAGGGGGGUAGAAUUCCAGGUGUAGCGGUGAAAUGCGUAGAGAUCUGGAGGAAUACCGGUGGCGAAGGCGGCCCCCUGGACAAAGACUGACGCUCAGGUGCGAAAGCGUGGGGAGCAAACAGGAUUAGAUACCCUGGUAGUCCACGCCGUAAACGAUGUCGACUUGGAGGUUGUUCCCUUGAGGAGUGGCUUCCGGAGCUAACGCGUUAAGUCGACCGCCUGGGGAGUACGGCCGCAAGGUUAAAACUCAAAUGAAUUGACGGGGGCCCGCACAAGCGGUGGAGCAUGUGGUUUAAUUCGAUGCAACGCGAAGAACCUUACCUACUCUUGACAUCCAGAGAACUUUCCAGAGAUGGAUUGGUGCCUUCGGGAACUCUGAGACAGGUGCUGCAUGGCUGUCGUCAGCUCGUGUUGUGAAAUGUUGGGUUAAGUCCCGCAACGAGCGCAACCCUUAUCCUUUGUUGCCAGCGGUCCGGCCGGGAACUCAAAGGAGACUGCCAGUGAUAAACUGGAGGAAGGUGGGGAUGACGUCAAGUCAUCAUGGCCCUUACGAGUAGGGCUACACACGUGCUACAAUGGCGCAUACAAAGAGAAGCGACCUCGCGAGAGCAAGCGGACCUCAUAAAGUGCGUCGUAGUCCGGAUUGGAGUCUGCAACUCGACUCCAUGAAGUCGGAAUCGCUAGUAAUCGUAGAUCAGAAUGCUACGGUGAAUACGUUCCCGGGCCUUGUACACACCGCCCGUCACACCAUGGGAGUGGGUUGCAAAAGAAGUAGGUAGCUUAACCUUCGGGAGGGCGCUUACCACUUUGUGAUUCAUGACUGGGGUGAAGUCGUAACAAGGUAACCGUAGGGGAACCUGCGGUUGGAUCACCUCCUUACCUUAAAGAA